UGUGCAUAUGAAAAGAAAAAACAUGCGGAGCAGUCCAUCUAGUUCUGUAAGAAAGAUUCCAUUGUCUAUAAAUAUUAUGGACUGCUA
Molecule: small nucleolar RNA, 87 nt
Filed under: Oryza sativa Indica Group (long-grained rice)
Lineage: Eukaryota; Viridiplantae; Streptophyta; Magnoliopsida; Poales; Poaceae
Description: Small nucleolar RNA Z199
Source: RNAcentral